CCUACGGGCGGCAGCAGUGGGGAAUAUUGCGCAAUGGGCGAAAGCCUGACGCAGCGACGCCGCGUGAGGGAUGAAGGUCUUCGGAUCGUAAACCUCUGUCAGCAGGGAAGAACGGUCACUGUGCUAUUCAGCAGUGAAUUGACGUUACCUGCAAAGGAAGCACCGGCUAACUCCGUGCCAGCAGCCGCGGUAAUACGGAGGGUGCGAGCGUUAAUCGGAAUUAUUGGGCGUAAAGCGCUCGUAGGCGGUAUGUCAAGUCAAGGGUGAAAGCCCCGCGCUCAACGUGGGAAUUGCCUUUGAAACUGGCAGACUGGAGUGUAGGAGAGGAAAGUGGAAUUCGAGGUGUAGGGGUGAAAUGCGUAGAUAGCUGGAAGAACAUCGGUGGCGAAGGCGACCAUCUGGCACAUAACUGACGCUGAGGAGCGAAAGCGUGGGUAGCAAACAGGAUUAGAUACCCCUGUAGUC
This 465-nucleotide ribosomal RNA is filed under the name uncultured bacterium. Its description in RNAcentral is "partial 16S ribosomal RNA". It matches the Rfam family "Bacterial small subunit ribosomal RNA", at positions 338 to 795 of the family's 1533-position model. The record is from RNAcentral.